This 497-nucleotide ribosomal RNA is filed under the name uncultured bacterium. Its description in RNAcentral is "partial 16S ribosomal RNA". It matches the Rfam family "Bacterial small subunit ribosomal RNA", at positions 28 to 507 of the family's 1533-position model. The record is from RNAcentral.
GAUGAACGCUGGCGGCGUGCCUAAUACAUGCAAGUCGAGCGAACAGAUCAGGAGCUUGCUCCUUUGACGUUAGCGGCGGACGGGUGAGUAACACGUGGGUAACCUACCUAUAAGACUGGAAUAACUCCGGGAAACCGGGGCUAAUGCCGGAUAACCUUUAGAACCGCAUGGUUCUAAAGUGAAAUAUGGUUUUACUAUCACUUAUAGAUGGACCCGCGCCGUAUUAGCUAGUUGGUAAGGUAACGGCUAACCAAGGCAACGAUACGUAGCCGACCUGAGAGGGUGAUCGGCCACACUGGAACUGAGACACGGUCCAGACGCCUACGGGAGGAAGCAGUAGGGAAUAGUCCGCAAUGGGCGAAAGCCUGACGGAGCAACGCCGCGUGAGUGAUGAAGGUCUUCGGAUCGUAAAACUCUGUUAUUAGGGAAGAACAAAUGUGUAAGUAACUGUGCACGUCUUGACGGUACCGAAUCAGAAAGCCACGGCUAACUACGUG